This 274-nucleotide ribosomal RNA is filed under the name uncultured bacterium. RNAcentral describes it as "partial 16S ribosomal RNA". It matches the Rfam family "Bacterial small subunit ribosomal RNA", at positions 523 to 796 of the family's 1533-position model. The record is from RNAcentral.
AUACGGAGGGGGCUAGCGUUGUUCGGAAUUACUGGGCGUAAAGCGCGCGUAGGCGGCUUUGUAAGUCGGAUGUGAAAGCCCUGGGCUCAACCUGGGAAUUGCACUCGAUACUGCAGAGCUAGAGUAUGGUAGAGGGAAGUGGAAUUUCCGGUGUAGCGGUGAAAUGCGUAGAUAUCGGAAGGAACACCAGUGGCGAAGGCGACUUCCUGGAUCAAGACUGACGCUGAGGUGCGAAAGCGUGGGGAGCAAACAGGAUUAGAAACCCCAGUAGUCC